This 374-nucleotide transfer-messenger RNA is filed under the name Burkholderiales. RNAcentral's name for it is "Ramlibacter sp007833165 Standard tmRNA". It matches the Rfam family "transfer-messenger RNA". Rfam says of the family: Bacterial tmRNA, also known as 10Sa RNA or SsrA, is named for its dual tRNA and mRNA-like properties. Its role is to liberate the mRNA from a stalled ribosome. To accomplish this part of the tmRNA is used as a reading frame that ends in a translation stop signal. The record is from RNAcentral. RNAcentral also lists the same sequence under 1 other name. Lineage: Bacteria; Pseudomonadati; Pseudomonadota; Betaproteobacteria.
GGGGCUGCACCGGUUUCGACGUGGGUUCGGACCCGCAGCAGGGCAUGUCGAGGAUCAGUCACCUCGUAAAUCCAUCUGAAACAAACCAACUGCGAACGAUUCUUCGUACGCCCUCGCCGCUUAAUUGCGCGUGAGCUCUACAACGGCAGGCCGAUGGGCCGGGUGAGGGGCGCAAGCCCCGAACUGUAGAGUUAUCUUCAUCGGCUGGUCCGGAUCCGGGUGCCUUGGGUCGGGACGAGAAAAUAGGGCACUGGCUGGCCAGGUAGCGUGCGACUGCGCGACCCGGUUGGCGAGAUCCAAAUCAGACCGCUAAACAUGUAGAACUGUUCGGCGAAGGCUUGCGGACGCGGGUUCAAUUCCCGCCAGCUCCACCA